This 331-nucleotide ribosomal RNA is filed under the name uncultured bacterium. RNAcentral's name for it is "bacterial SSU rRNA". It matches the Rfam family "Bacterial small subunit ribosomal RNA", at positions 568 to 897 of the family's 1533-position model. The record is from RNAcentral.
CGCGCAGGCGGUCCUGCAAGUCGGAUGUGAAAUCUCCUGGCUUAACUGGGAGGGGCCAUUCGAAACUGCUGGACUAGAGGGCAGCAGAGGGAGGUGGAAUUCCCGGUGUAGUGGUGAAAUGCGUAGAUAUCGGGAGGAACACCAGUGGCGAAAGCGGCCUCCUGGGCUGUACCUGACGCUGAGGCGCGAAAGCGUGGGGAGCGAACAGGAUUAGAUACCCUGGUAGUCCACGCCCUAAACGGUGGGCACUAGGUACGGGGAGUAUCGACCCUCUCUGCGCCGAAGCUAACGCAUUAAGUGCCCCGCCUGGGGACUACGGCCGCAAGGUUAA